AUGAGUGCUCCUAAUCAGAUCCUGGGUUUGCUGCUGCUCUGGUUGACAGGUGUAAGAUGUGACAUCAAGAUGACUCAGUCUCGUACCUCCCUUUCUGCAUCUCUAGGAGAAAGUGUCACAAUUACAUGUCUGGCAAGUGAGGAAAUCAGCUGGUAUUUAUCGUGGCAUCAGCAGAAACCAGGGAAAUCUCCUAAGCUCCUGAUCUAUAGUGCAGACAUUUUGGAAGAUGGUGUCCCAUCAAGGUUCAGUGGCAGUGGAUUUGGCACACAGUUUACUCUCAAAAUCAGCAGCCUGCAGCCUGAAGAUAUUACAACUUAUUACUGCCAACAGAGUUACAGUGCUCCACCCACAUUGAUUCAAGCCAUGACAUAA
Non-coding RNA from Grammomys surdaster, 372 nucleotides. Lineage: Eukaryota; Metazoa; Chordata; Mammalia; Rodentia; Muridae. The record is from the annotation of a RefSeq genome assembly.